CCUACGGGCGGCAGCAGUGAGGAAUAUUGGUCAAUGGGCGGGAGCCUGAACCAGCCAAGUCGCGUGAGGGAAGACGGUCCUAUGGAUUGUAAACCUCUUUAGGCGGGGAGCAAUGCCGGGCACGCGUGCCCGGAGGGAGAGUACCCGCAGAAUAAGCAUCGGCUAACUCCGUGCCAGCAGCCGCGGUAAUACGGAGGAUGCGAGCGUUAUCCGGAUUUAGUGGGUUUAAAGGGUGCGUAGGCGGAUUUUUAAGUCAGCGGUAAAAUGUCCGGGCUCAACCCGGGCCGGCCGUUGAAACUGGGGAUCUUGAGUGGGCGAGAAGUAUGCGGAAUGCGUGGGGUAGCGGUGAAAUGCAUAGAUAUCACGCAGAACUCCGAUUGCGAAGGCAGCAUACCGGCGCCCGACUGACGCUGAGGCACGAAAGCGUGGGGAUCGAACAGGAUUAGAUACCCUGGUAGUC
RNAcentral lists this ribosomal RNA (460 nucleotides) under uncultured bacterium. RNAcentral's name for it is "partial 16S ribosomal RNA". It matches the Rfam family "Bacterial small subunit ribosomal RNA", at positions 338 to 795 of the family's 1533-position model. The record is from RNAcentral.